Lutra lutra (Eurasian river otter) is the source of this 73-nucleotide non-coding RNA. The record is from the annotation of a RefSeq genome assembly. NCBI's taxonomy places the organism in Eukaryota, Metazoa, Chordata, Mammalia, Carnivora, Mustelidae.
GCCUGGCUGGCUCAGUUGGCAGAGCAUGCGACUUUUGAUCUCUGGGACGUGAGUUCAAGCCCCACGCUGGGCU